AUGGCAGAUGGGAAGGUGGGAAGGAGAAGGCUGAAAAGAUGCAGUGAGCUGGAGCCACUGGAGGACCUGAAGAAGAAGUGGAAAAAACGGUGAAAACUAAGGCUGUUUAUUCCAGUAAUGGAGGGAAAACUUCUGGUCGCAGCACUGAGAAGCCAUCAGCCGAAAAAGAAGCAGCAGUCCUCCCAACAAAGCCUACAAAGAUCAAGUUUAGAUCUACCACAGGUAGUCACAUGACAAAGAAAGCAUCAGCCAUAUCCAUCAAACUUAGAUUAAGUAAGCCUAAACUUGCUUCAAAAAUUCUUUUGGUAGCAGCAGGUUUUAAUGAAGAUGAAGGUAGUCAACCUGAGGCAAUGCCUCCAGAAGCAAAGAUGAGGAUUAAAAAUAUUGGAAGAAAUACAUUAACAUCAGCUGGACCAAACUCCUUCAAUAAAAGAAGCGUGUGUUUUUUGUUAACCAAAAGCUAUGGGAGCAAAAUAUAAAACCUCAUCUUGGUGUAAUGCCCAUGACUACGACAAUU
This 517-nucleotide long non-coding RNA is filed under the name Homo sapiens (human). RNAcentral's name for it is "non-protein coding lnc-ZDHHC15-2:1". Lineage: Eukaryota; Metazoa; Chordata; Mammalia; Primates; Hominidae. The record is from RNAcentral.